Molecule: non-coding RNA, 710 nt
Organism: Ctenopharyngodon idella (grass carp)
Lineage: Eukaryota; Metazoa; Chordata; Actinopteri; Cypriniformes; Xenocyprididae
Source: the annotation of a RefSeq genome assembly
UCACACAUGCUUCAGUGCUCUGAGAGUGUUUAUAGUGCUGUGAGUUUAACACUUCAUGACUGAGAGCAGAACAGAACACAAUCUUCAUCAUCACACAAGACAAAAGAACAACAAUGAACAAAAUCACCUUCUUCAUCUGGACUCUGACUCUCUGCAUUCAGGAGAGCUGGGGACAAGUGACAGUGACUCAGAAUCCAACAAUAAAAUCCAUCAAACAAGGAGAAACUGUUACAAUCAGCUGUAAAACCAGUCAGCCGAUUUCUGGCUGUAGUGACUGUGUGUCUUGGUAUCAGCAGAAACCUGGAGAAGCUCCUAAACUCCUCAUUUAUUGGAUAAGAAGACUUCAGUCAGGAACUCCAUCUAGAUUCAGUGGCAGUGGAUCUAACUAUGGCAGUGAUUUCACUCUGACCAUCAGUGGAGUCCAGACUGAAGAUACAGGAGAUUAUUACUGUCUGAGUGCACACAGCAUCAACAGUAACUGGGUGUUCACACACCUAGAUCUAGGGACCACCUGGUAUCAGCAGAAACCUGGAGAAGCUCCUAAACUCCUGAUUUAUUAUAUAAACAGCCUCCAGUCAGGAACUCCAUCUAGAUUCAGUGGCAGUGGAUCUGGCAGUGAUUUCACUCUGACCAUCAGUGGAGUCCAGACAGAAGAUACAGGAGAUUAUUACUGUCAAAGUUACCACAGUGGUGGUGUGUUCACACAGUGA